Molecule: transfer RNA, 82 nt
Filed under: Parascedosporium putredinis
Lineage: Eukaryota; Fungi; Ascomycota; Sordariomycetes; Microascales; Microascaceae
Rfam family: tRNA
About the family: Transfer RNA (tRNA) molecules are approximately 80 nucleotides in length. Their secondary structure includes four short double-helical elements and three loops (D, anti-codon, and T loops).
Source: Rfam by way of RNAcentral
GGUCCAAUAGUCUAGUUGGUUAGGACGUCGGAUUCUGAACUAGAGAAUUCCGUAAGCCCAGGUUCGAAUCCUGGUUGGACCU